This is a small nucleolar RNA of Mobula hypostoma (lesser devil ray), 65 nucleotides long. RefSeq annotates it as small nucleolar RNA SNORD58. NCBI's taxonomy places the organism in Eukaryota, Metazoa, Chordata, Chondrichthyes, Myliobatiformes, Myliobatidae. The record is from RefSeq and is a predicted model, not a curated record. The transcript has a single exon.
UUACUGUGAUGACAAGCUUAGGACACCUUUGGAAAAACCGUGAAAAAAAACUUGCUCUGAGUGAC